CCUACGGGAGGCAGCAGUGGGGAAUAUUGGGCAAUGGGCGCAAGCCUGACCCAGCAACGCCGCGUGAAGGAAGAAGGCUUUCGGGUUGUAAACUUCUUUUAAGAGGGAGGAACAGACUACGGUACCUCUUGAAUAAGCUACGGCUAACUACGUGCCAGCAGCCGCGGUAAUACGUAGGUUGCAAGCGUUGUCCGGAUUUACUGGGUGUAAAGGGCGUGUAGUCGGGCUGACAAGUCAGAGGUGAAAUCCCGGGGCUCAACCACGGAACUGCAUUUGAUACUGUCGGUCUUGAGCGUCGGAGAGGCAGGCGGAAUUCCUGGUGUAGCGGUGAAAUGCGUAGAGAUUAGGAGGAACACCGGUGGCGAAGGCGGCCUGCUGGACGAAAACUGACGGUGAGGCGCGAAAGUGUGGGUAGCAAACAGGAUUAGAUACCCUUGUAGUC
RNAcentral lists this ribosomal RNA (442 nucleotides) under uncultured bacterium. Its description in RNAcentral is "partial 16S ribosomal RNA". It matches the Rfam family "Bacterial small subunit ribosomal RNA", at positions 338 to 795 of the family's 1533-position model. The record is from RNAcentral.